This 253-nucleotide ribosomal RNA is filed under the name uncultured bacterium. Its description in RNAcentral is "partial 16S ribosomal RNA". It matches the Rfam family "Bacterial small subunit ribosomal RNA", at positions 524 to 776 of the family's 1533-position model. The record is from RNAcentral.
GACGGAGGGUGCAAGCGUUGCUCGGAAUCAUUGGGCGUAAAGGGUGCGUAGGCGGCUUCUCAAGUCUGGCGUGAAAGCCCAGGGCUUAGCCUUGGAAGGGCGCUAGAAACUGGGGAGCUAGAGUGCCGGAGGGGAGAGUGGAAUUCCCGGUGUAGCGGUGAAAUGCGUAGAUAUCGGGAGGAAUACCGGUGGCGAAAGCGACUCUCUGGACGGUGACUGACGCUGAGGCACGAAAGCGUGGGGAGCAAACAGG